This 497-nucleotide ribosomal RNA is filed under the name uncultured bacterium. RNAcentral describes it as "partial 16S ribosomal RNA". It matches the Rfam family "Bacterial small subunit ribosomal RNA", at positions 28 to 507 of the family's 1533-position model. The record is from RNAcentral.
GACGAACGCUGGCGGCGUGCCUAAUACAUGCAAGUAGAACGCUGAAGAGAGGAGCUUGCUCUUCUUGGAUGAGUUGCGAACGGGUGAGUAACGCGUAGGUAACCUGCCUUGUAGCGGGGGAUAACUAUUGGAAACGAUAGCUAAUACCGCAUAACAAUGGAUGACACAUGUCAUUUAUUUGAAAGGGGCAAUUGUUCCACUACAAGAUGGACCUGCGUUGUAUUAGCUAGUAGGUGAGGUAAUGGCUCACCUAGGCGACGAUACAUAGCCGACCUGAGAGGGUGAUCCGCCACACUGGGACUGAGACACGGCCCAGACUCCUACGGGAGGCAGCAGUAGGGAAUCUUCGGCAAUGGGGGCAACCCUGACCGAGCAACGCCGCGUGAGUGAAGAAGGUUUUCGGAUCGUAAAGCUCUGUUGUAAGUCAAGAACGGGUGUGAGAGUGGAAAGUUCACACUGUGACGGUAGCUUACCAGAAAGGGACGGCUAACUACGUG